CCACCACUCCUCCCAGAUGUCAGGCUGCAUGAAUGGAACUCAUGCAAGGCGCCGCAGCAUCACAGACAUGGCUGGCCGCGAUGCGCCCGGUUGCAUCGCGCGGAGACACCCUCGUGCUUGGUCGAUCCACCUCGUGUUUUACAUGUCAAGCUGCAUAUGCAGCUUACAUGCAUGGUGAAACCUCGUGCUUCUGUAGAUACUCAUCUUGCUGGACAGUUGACACCACGUUCUAAACCCAUGCAACAAGCCACCUCGAACUUCUCGGUCCAUUCGCCUGAUUUCGACCAUUCCGGUGAAUUUCUGACCCGCGAUUAACCCCAAAUAUUUUUCUUCUCCCGUUCAGAUAAGUUUAAUAUUUUUAAUAAACUCCAAUAUGAAGUCUGACCUUGGCGGUAAAUAUUUCCAGAUCCUUCGGCUUCAACUCGACCACCACAAAGGUACUCAACCAUUCUUUUUUUUUUUACGGGUUUCUACAGUCGGGGGCAUUCUUAUUUCAUAGUCAGAUGUGAAAUUCUUGGAUUUAUGAAAGACGAACAACUGUGAAAGCAUUUGCCAAGGAUGUUUUCAUUAAUCAAGAACGAAAGUUGGGGGCUCGAAGACGACCAGAUACUAUCCUAGUCUCAACCAUAAACGAUGCCGACCAGGGAUCAGCGGAUGUUGCUUUUAGGACUCCGCUGGCACCUUAUGAGAAAUCAAAGUUUUUGGGUUCCGGGGGGAGUAUGGUCGCAAGGCUGAAACUUAAAGGAAUUGACGGAAGGGCACCACCAGGAGUGGAGCCUGCAGCUUAAUUUGACUCAACACGGGGAAACAUACCAGGUCCAGACAUAGUAAGGAUUGAAAGACUGAUAGAUCUUUCUUGAUUCUAUUGGUGGUGGUGCAUGGCCGUUCUUAGUUUGUGGAGCGAUUUGUCUGGUUAAUUCCGUUAACGAACGAGACCUCAGCCUGCUAACUAGAUACGUAGAGGCAUCCCUUCACGGCCGGCUUCUUAGGGGGACUAUGGCUGUUUAGGCCAAGGAAGUUUGAGGCAAUAACAGGUCCUGUGAUGCCCUUAGAUGUUUUGGGCGCGACACGACGCUACACUGAUGUAUUCAAAGAGUUCACACCUUGGCCGACAGGGCCGGGUAAUCUUUGAAAUUUCAUCGUGAUGGGGAUAGAUCAUUGCAAUUGUUGGUCUUCAACGAGGAAUUCCUAGUAAGCGCUUGAGUCAUCAGCUCGCGUUGACUACGCCCCUGCCCCUUUGUACACACCACCGUUGUUCUACCGAUUGAAUGAUCCGGUGAAGUGUUGGAUCAGCGGGCGCGUGGGUGGUUUGCCGUCUGUGACGUCGCGACCAGUCUACUAAAUCUUAUCAUUUAGAGGAAGGAGAAGUCGUAACAAGGUUUCCAUAGGUGAACCUGCGGAAG
RNAcentral lists this ribosomal RNA (1403 nucleotides) under Brassica rapa (field mustard). RNAcentral describes it as "SSU rRNA". It matches the Rfam family "Eukaryotic small subunit ribosomal RNA", at positions 684 to 1823 of the family's 1831-position model. The record is from RNAcentral. Lineage: Eukaryota; Viridiplantae; Streptophyta; Magnoliopsida; Brassicales; Brassicaceae.